Molecule: long non-coding RNA, 778 nt
Organism: Mauremys reevesii (Reeves's turtle)
Lineage: Eukaryota; Metazoa; Chordata; Testudines; Geoemydidae
Exons: 3
Source: RefSeq, a predicted model, not a curated record
AGGACAUACCCACUGUGAAGGGUAGAGGCAGCAGUUUUCUGUCCCGGUUCAACUGUAACUUUAGCAGGAAACACUUUCAAUGUACACAACGCCUUUCAGUCAAAAAUCUCCAGACACCUUUAUAAACAUUCAGCGUGUUUAUUAGCACGAGUCACUUGAAUUCAGACAUGUCACAGCAGCCCCUGUGAAGGAGCCACUAUGCCCGCAGACACGGAGAGGGCAAGCGACGUGCCCUGCAGCCCCCAGCGAGCGAGCCCGCGGCAGCGCCUGGAGACCAGCUCGCGGGAGUCCUGCCAGCAGCACCCGGAGAAGAAGGGGCGGCAGCUGACUCUCCUCAGACAGUUACACCGCGCUGCCGGGGCACAGGGACCCUGGCUAACGCCCGUCUUGAGCUGGCAACGGGGGACCUUCAUACUGCAUCACAUCAAGUCCAAAUCAUUAGAGGAAUGCCUCUGCAUGCACUGAUCAGAGGAUGUUUGGAUUCUGAUGUCAGCCCAGUUCUGCAGCCUGACAGGCUAUGGAGCUGUGCUAAGGCUUUGAAGAGAGCCCAACCCAGAUGGGUUGUGACUGCCAUGCAAGCCCUUGAAGGUGGUGAAAUUAAAAUAAAGGAUGCAGAGCACCUCCUUUCCUGGCUACUGGUGGGGAAACCAGAGGUUGAGAACACCAGAAAGUGGAUGAAUUAUGAAGGAUUAAUUGACUGACAUUGUGAUCUAUCAUCUGUUAUACUGAUAAUAAAAAAAUUAUAGGUCAAAGUGCCAAAUAUUGUGCACAUUUUCAA